Molecule: small RNA, 580 nt
Filed under: Pan troglodytes (chimpanzee)
Lineage: Eukaryota; Metazoa; Chordata; Mammalia; Primates; Hominidae
Description: retained intron
Source: RNAcentral
AUUCCCUUUCAGGAUGCUCCUACAGCAGCUGCCUAAUACUCUCAGUUGCAGUCAGAUGUUGGCUGGGACCACAGUCAUCUAAGGAUACUGCUCAAGCUGGCUGUUGUCUGGAAACUCAGCUGGGGCUACUGAUCAGAGCACCUGCAUGUGGCUGUCCAGCAAGGCAAUGUUAAGGAAUCUUGGAAAAUCAGGACUCAGAGUUUCUUGCUUGGGUCUUGGAACAUGGGUGACGUUUGGAGGUCAAAUUUCAGAUGAGGUAAGUUACCUUUGGCCUCUAUUAUGCUAAUGAAAGAAAAUGCAGAGAGAGCUGUAUAGCAGGAGUCCUCUUCCUGGGACCCUGACACUCUACAGGGAUAAGGUUUAAUUCACAGGAAAUGGUAAAAUUGACUCAGAGAUUAUUGUUGAUUUUAUUUUUCCUGUUGCAUUUUUUACAUUUAGACUAUUAAUAGCCCUUGAAGCUGUACAUUAUAUAUGCAGGUUGAACAGUCAGAGAAUGAAACAGUUUGGAAUAAACAUUAGUCACUUUAUGAAAAGAUUGUAUUGCUGUGAUGUUGUUUUGCUUUAUUUGUUUGUUUACUUU